GGGAAUGUGGCUUAGUGGUAGAGUGCUUGCCUAGCAUGCAUGAAGCCCUGGGUUCGAUUCCUCAGGACCA
This 70-nucleotide transfer RNA is filed under the name Dipodomys ordii (Ord's kangaroo rat). It matches the Rfam family "tRNA". From Rfam's summary of the family: Transfer RNA (tRNA) molecules are approximately 80 nucleotides in length. Their secondary structure includes four short double-helical elements and three loops (D, anti-codon, and T loops). Lineage: Eukaryota; Metazoa; Chordata; Mammalia; Rodentia; Heteromyidae. The record is from Rfam by way of RNAcentral.